RNAcentral lists this ribosomal RNA (1177 nucleotides) under human gut metagenome. RNAcentral's name for it is "bacterial LSU rRNA". It matches the Rfam family "Bacterial large subunit ribosomal RNA", at positions 1115 to 2303 of the family's 2925-position model. The record is from RNAcentral.
GCCAUCAUUCAAAGAGUGCGUAAUAGCUCACUAGUCGAGUGACGCCGCGCCGAAAAUUUACCGGGGCUAAGCAUGAUACCGAAACUGUGGAUGUGCAUUUAUGCACGUGGUAGGAGAGCGUUCUAGCGGCGGUGAAGCAUGACCGAGAGGACAUGUGGAGCUUCUAGAAGUGAGAAUGCCGGUAUGAGUAACGAAAGACAGGUGAGAAUCCUGUCCGCCGCAAGACUAAGGUUUCCUGGGGCAGGCUCGUCCGCCCAGGGGAAGUCGGGACCUAAGGCGAGGCCGAGAGGCGUAGUCGAUGGACAACAGGUUGAAAUUCCUGUACUGCACCGAAUCGUUAUGAGCGAUGGAGGGACGCAGGAGGCUAGCAGCGCGUGGUGCUGGAUACCACGUUCAAGCGUCAAGUCUGAGAGCGAGUCAAAUGCUUGCUUUCAUAAGGACAAGGCGUGAUGAGGAGCGAAAUUAAAGUAGCGAAGGCUGCGACGUCACACUGCCGAGAAAAGCUUCUAGCCAGAAACGGUGCACCCGUACCGCAAACCGACACAGGUAGUCGAGGAGAGUAUCCUCAGGUGAGCGAGAGAACUCUCGUUAAGGAACUCGGCAAAAUGGCCCCGUAACUUCGGGAGAAGGGGCGCUGGUCGCAAGAUCAGCCGCAGUGAAAAGGCCCAAGCAACUGUUUAUCAAAAACACAGGCAUCUGCAAAAUCGUAAGAUGAAGUAUAGGUGCUGACACCUGCCCGGUGCUGGAAGGUUAAGAGGAGAGCUUAGCGCAAGCGAAGGUUUGAAUUGAAGCCCCAGUAAACGGCGGCCGUAACUAUAACGGUCCUAAGGUAGCGAAAUUCCUUGUCGGGUAAGUUCCGACCUGCACGAAAGGCGUAAUGAUUUGGGCACUGUCUCAACGAGAGACUCGGUGAAAUUAUAAUCCCCGUGAAGAUGCGGGUUACCCGCGACAGGACGGAAAGACCCCAUGGAGCUUUACUGCAGUUUAAUAUUGGGUAUCUGUCAAGCAUGUACAGGAUAGGUAGGAGCCGGAGAAGAUAGGACGCCAGUCUUAUCAGAGGCGCUGUUGGGAUACUACCCUUGCUUGACGGAUGCUCUAACCUCGGCCUGUGAUCCAGGCCGAGGACAGUGUUUGACGGGCAGUUUGACUGGGGCGGUCGCCUCCUAAAGUGUAACGG